UAGUUUAGAAAUUUAUCUUUAUCUUAUGAAACGCAAUAGACAGGUGCGAAAAUGUUGAGUUACAAGUUAAAUCAGUUAUAAAAGACGUAUCCUUAAAAUAAUCACAGCAGAAGAUUUUUCUUAGUCUAAAUGGCAUGCAGUCCUUUCCGAUCAUUCAUCAUGUUUUCUGUAACAUAAUUGAUUUUUAAUAUUUGAUGCGUUCAUAUCUUAUUAACUGUAUAAUAGAGAUCAGCAUCAGAUGAGGGUAAAUUUGUUUCUAGAAUGAGUGAUUAACGUUAAAACCCUUUUGUGAAGACCAUAGUGCGUAUUUGAAUGAAAGACCGAAACAUGUUAACAAUACCAAAGGAAUUACGUCAUCAGCUAUAAACUGCUCAGAUGCUGCCAUCU
RNAcentral lists this long non-coding RNA (387 nucleotides) under Bos taurus (domestic cattle). RNAcentral describes it as "long non-coding RNA NONBTAT023908". Lineage: Eukaryota; Metazoa; Chordata; Mammalia; Artiodactyla; Bovidae. The record is from RNAcentral.